ACCCCCCACUCUACCUCCGCCCCAACCCUCCUGGGUCUUCAGGAAAGAGAGGAGAUGGAACCCCAAAUAUGGGGGACCUGCUUCAGGCGUGCUAAUGUGGAGCCUCCCAGAGACUGCAAGUGGAAUGCACUGAUCCCAGAAACCAGAGGCUUUGGCUGGGCAGUCCUGCAGGAAGACCCAGCUCUUACCAGCUCUGAACUUGAAGAUGCUCAACAUCUCUGCACCUCAAUUUCCUCAUCCACAAAAUAGAGUGAAUAAUAAAUUCAGAGUUUAUUGUAGGGAUUAAAAAAGGAUUAUGUUGUUUUUAUUAAAAAAUUUUAAAAUGUUUAUUUUUGAGAGAGAGAGAG
Long non-coding RNA from Herpailurus yagouaroundi (jaguarundi), 347 nucleotides. RefSeq lists it as uncharacterized. The record is from RefSeq and is a predicted model, not a curated record. NCBI's taxonomy places the organism in Eukaryota, Metazoa, Chordata, Mammalia, Carnivora, Felidae. The transcript has 3 exons.